UCCCUGGAAGACUAGUGGUUAGGCCACAGCACUCUCACUGCUGCAGUCCGGGUUCAAUUCCUAGCCAGGGAA
RNAcentral lists this transfer RNA (72 nucleotides) under Pangasianodon hypophthalmus (striped catfish). It matches the Rfam family "tRNA". Rfam says of the family: Transfer RNA (tRNA) molecules are approximately 80 nucleotides in length. Their secondary structure includes four short double-helical elements and three loops (D, anti-codon, and T loops). Lineage: Eukaryota; Metazoa; Chordata; Actinopteri; Siluriformes; Pangasiidae. The record is from Rfam by way of RNAcentral.